Molecule: long non-coding RNA, 207 nt
Filed under: Mytilus galloprovincialis (Mediterranean mussel)
Lineage: Eukaryota; Metazoa; Mollusca; Bivalvia; Mytilida; Mytilidae
Source: RNAcentral
GACAUUUUCUUAUACCAUUAUUUGUAUAAAAAUGAUAUUUGAUAUUUUUAUAUGUGUACAUUGAUGUUUUGUAUAAAUAAUUGAACUUGCUUAUCUGAUAUUAUAUUUAUUUUUUUAACUUAUGUUCACUUGUUUCCUUCCUUAGUCCAAUAACUUUAGAUUUUUAUACCAACCAAUGAUACACAUUUUACAUCUAAGUUUUCCCGC